This 302-nucleotide unclassified non-coding RNA is filed under the name soil metagenome. Its description in RNAcentral is "partial contains small subunit ribosomal RNA, internal transcribed spacer 1, and 5.8S ribosomal RNA". The record is from RNAcentral.
UUUCCGUAGGUGAACCUGCGGAAGGAUCAUUACCACACCGAUCCAACGAUCAACACCCCUGUGAAAUUGUGAAUGUUUUGACUAUACACUUUUUGUUUUGCGUGCUGGCUUCGAAGGUCUUGAAGCUUCUUCAGGCCGGACUUUCCAUGCAUCGACAAGACAUUAUACACAAACCACUUUUACAUAUCAACCACUUUUCAAUCUGAAAACCACAAUUAACUGUCUUGAGGCCACGCAAGUGACUCGAGGCGGCCAAAUGUCUUAAUCUGAAACAACUUUCAGCGAUGGAUAUCUUGGCUCUC